Salvelinus sp. IW2-2015 is the source of this 1085-nucleotide long non-coding RNA. RefSeq lists it as uncharacterized. The record is from RefSeq and is a predicted model, not a curated record. NCBI's taxonomy places the organism in Eukaryota, Metazoa, Chordata, Actinopteri, Salmoniformes, Salmonidae.
GGUAGCCAUUUCCUCAUUGUGCUUUGUGGGAUCUUGUAUACAGAUCGUUGCCUGUGUGCACACCAGUUGCUUUACGUUUUGUUUGUUCUUGUGCUUUAUUGUUUUGUUUGGUGAGUUUCAAUUUAUUAAAAUAUGUGGAACUCUACGCACGCUGCGCCUUGGUCUACUUAUUAUGACGAGCGUGACAGGACUUUUGGUGUGGAUGAUGUUCAGGUUAGAUAUUCCUUUAAAUUAUUCCACUGCACCAUUUGAUUGUCAUUCCUUUAUUGAAAAUUGUACCUUGUUCACACCACAGAGCCUACCAAAGUAGGGUUUCUCAAACAACUGUGGGGUGUUUGUUUUGAUGGUAAGAUGCUGGCUGUUCAGUAUAUUAUAUUAGUCCUAUUUUCUGUUAUAACAUGUGAAAAGUUAUUAUUUCUGUGCUUGCAGCAUGCAAAACACACUAUUGUUAUUGCUCAUACUUUCUCAUUAUUUACUAUUAUCAUUAUUGUUAUCAUAACUAUCAAACCUACACUUUCUUAACUUACAGUGCGUUCUGUACAUUGCAAUGGAAGCACAGUGUGAUUUCACUGAGGUAUGUAUAAAUUCUCAUCACUAGUGGAUAUAAUGUUUUUUGGGAUCCCAAUCCGAUUGUGUGAUUUUCUUUUUCAAAGGAAAACAUGGAGCAAAUUAAGCGAUGGUGGUGCCUAGUUCUCCUGCAGUACUUUCCCAUGCCGAAGCAGAUGUUCUUCUAAUGGGCGCCCUAGAGGCAGCAAGGUGGCGUGAACUCCAAACAUUUAAAGGCACAGUUUCCCUCCCUAGUGUAAUUGGGAUGGACGGGGAAGACCGCAUUACAACCCUUAAAGAACUACGGUUGUAUGAUGGCCUGGAUGAAGAGGAAGAUAUUAUCCUCAAGGAACCAUUCAUGUUCCAGUUACAGAGAGAUUAUGAGAUGUUUUAUGUGGAGGCAGUUGACAACAAGAAAAUGAAUGUCUUUGCCUCUUCUGAGGAGCAGGAGUGAAGCCAUUUUUGAGGAGUGGUCAAACCUUGUUUUGUCUGCUUUGUUAAUUGUGGUAUGUUGUUUAGUAAAGAUGACGUAGAAGUCA